GGUGUGGGGUGUAGUAGAGGGUGUAGAACUCAUGUGCAUGGUGGUGAUGUGUAGGACAGUAGAGGUUCCCAUGGGUGUCGGUGUCUUUCUUGUAACCACAUGUAAUCCAUUUUUAAAGAAGAAAAGGUGUUUUCGUACUCGGGGUCGGGGUUUAUUUUCAUUUAGGCUGGACCAGCCUUUUGGGGCAGCUGGGGUUGGUCCUUGGGGGUUUCCCUGGGAGGUCGUUGGUUCCAAGUCCGGCCGUGCUGCUGCUCCUGCUCCGUGUGUGUGGCACCGCUCCAGAAACCAGAUCAAAGCUUGCCAGAGAAAAAAAAAAAAAAGAAAAAAAGGAAUUUAAUUGUAAAAAUGCUGGAAAUGAUCUUGAUGACCUCUUUCUUUUUUUCUUUGUAAAGCUGUAAAUACUUUAUUUUUGUUUUCUAUUCUUAAUGCGGUGUCAUAUUGACACUUUUUUAGAUUUACAGUCAGAAAAUCCUCCUCAUUGUUUCUCAUUUUUUAAAAGGGGAUUUCAAGGAAGCAAAUUUUUUUGCUCGCUAGCAGUGUAAUAAUAGAUCAAAUUCCUAAACUGGGUUUGUACAAAAAUGUUUUCAGUAAACAAAUGGCAGUUUGUGGAUGCAUGUUGUUCAAAAAUGUCCAAAGAAUAACGUGGUACAAAUGUUUUAAAGAAUAAUGUGGUACAAACAUUUUUUUCAAAGACUUAGUGAUUAUCAUCUUAGUUCACACAAGGAAAAAAAGCAAAAUUAUUUAAAAAAAAUGUUUGGGGGGGAAUGUAAUGAAACUCAUCUAAGCUAAAUGUGUAAUCUAUUUAUAAAAACACAGUAUAUAUUCUAUUUUUAUCAGAGGUUUUUAAAGUGCAAACAGAUUUCUGUUGGCAGAUGCAAUUGUUCCCUUGUAAAGUCUCUUCUGCUCUGUGGGACCCCCAAAUUCUCUGAUGGUUCCAAGAGUCAAUGUGGAAAUCACCAGGACAGGUUUGGCUGUGGAGCACUCACAGGGGAGGCUGCAGCUUCAGCAUCUCUUCUGCCUCUGCAGAAUUGUUGCUGUGAUUUUAUUCCCUUCCCUGUGCUUUUAUUCCCUUUCCCCGACUGGGAGGAUACUCCUGGAAAGGGUCAGGACCUCCUGGAGCACGGCAGGACAGGGGUUAAACUCUGCCUCAGCCUGGAGAAUAUAAAAAUUAAAUAUAAAUAAUAUUCCUACCUGUAGAAAUUUGGAUUAACUCAACAAAACCAAACAACAGAUGGGAAUCCUGCCUGAAUAUGCAUCCAGAGCUGCUUCUGAAGGGAAAUAAUAUUAAUUUUCUUUUCCGUGCUCAUUGCUGCCAGCAGAACCACGAGCAGGGUGCUCCCGGAGCCGCUCCGUGUUUCCCUUGGCUCUGGGAAUCCGGGAUGUUUGUGUUGGAAGAGCUGCAGAGCUGUGAGGUUUCAUGUUUGAGUGCUUCAUUUUAGAGCUGAGUGUUUAAGGAGCGAUUUAUCCCGGCUAAAUUAAGACAUCCCAGCACUUCCAGGAGGCAGGAACACCCCAGUGAGGAUUUUCCACCUUUGGCUGGAGGACUUUUGGGGUUUUUCUCCUUUUAAAUGCUGGGUUUUAAGCUUUUUUAGCGGGAUGUAAUGUGUGUCUGUUUGAGUUUUAGCUAAGAAACAAAAUUACCAGCGAGGCAAGAGGUUAUUCCUGGUGGGAAUAACAGCAGAGGUGAGCUGGGAGCUGCUCCCUGCCUGCCAAAUUCUCCGUGGGAAUGGGAUGCCAGCCCUUCUCCCUGGCCCAGGCUUUGGCACAGCAGUGGGGAAGCACUUGAGCUUUCCCUUUCUGUCUGUUUUUGUGCAGCUUCGCUGUCCUCAGACCCUUCUGCGUUUGCAGGAGCCUUUCAGAGCUUCUCUUUUGAAGGAGCAACAAAUUGUGUUUCGAUGUGGGUGUUUGAUUGCAGAAUCACCAUCCCCCUAAUCUGAGGCACUCCAACAGUGAAGCACUGGGGAGGGGGUGCUUGGCGGUCUGGCCAGCUCCUUUUUUGGGAAAUAAUGAUGUUAAAGCUUAAAACAACCCCCGGGGUGGCUUCACACCGCUGUCAUCUCUGAGGCAGAGCAGCCCAGACCACGGUGCCACAAACCCGCUGGAGCUGCCCAGACUGCCACCCCCGAACCCCCAAAUUUCUGUUUUAUUGGAGAGGCUUUGAGGGCAGUCCAACCUCAGUCACUAAAACACACUCCUUCCUGUGACCUGGUUUCACCAAAAAACUCACAACCCAGUCCCUGAAACACCUUCCUGUGGUUAAAGUACAUGUAGCGACCUUCAGCCAAAAAAGAUUAUUUAUUAUUUAUCAUGUUCGAGUGCGGGGUAUUGAUGCCUCUUCCCUCCUGCUGUGUCACUUCUUGUCGAUUCCUCUUUAGGUCACUUAAGAGUUUCUUUUAUCCCCACGACAACGAACUGCUGAUGGUGUGAGAAUGCCCCUGGUUACCGUCCCCGUGUAAAUAUUGUGCUUUAUAUUCUGUAUAUUAGCUAAUUUUAAUGGAAAAGACUGGACUGAUGAUGCUGUUGGAUGAUCCCAGGAGGGGAAAGGCCAGAGGAUGACCCAGCUCCCGGCCUCUGGGGCUGGAAUUCUGUGCUGGGAACCCGCAGCAGCUGGAAUGGGACACCACCAGUGGAUUUGGGACCACGAAACGCUUCGAGAAUCCAAUCCACGUCCGGAGGAGCCCUGAGAACUCCCUCAGCCAGAGCCAGAACCACCAGAACCACGCGGCCUCCUCCGAGCUCGGCGGAUUUGCUCUGUUUUCCUUUUUUUAGUGCCAAAACCGACCCCACCAACCCCUUGCAGGUCUGCUGGUGGCUCUCUGUGUGCUGCUGUAGUGUCCAGCUGUGUCCAGCUGUGUCCAGGUGUGUCCAGCGUGUCCAGCUGUGUCCAGCUGUGUCCAGCUGUGCCCAGCCCACCCCACCCCUCCGUCCUGCCGGACCCCAGGGGCAGCAGCUGCCCAUGAAACAGGUCCCAGUCGGUCUCCGGUGACGAUGAAAACCACAAAAAACUAUAAAAUAAAUACCAAACUCC
Molecule: long non-coding RNA, 3028 nt
Organism: Taeniopygia guttata (zebra finch)
Lineage: Eukaryota; Metazoa; Chordata; Aves; Passeriformes; Estrildidae
Source: Ensembl